UACGUAGGGACCAAGCGUUGUUCGGAUUUACUGGGCGUAAAGGGCGCGUAGGCGGCAAUUCAAGUCAGCUGUGAAAUCUCCGGGCUUAACUCGGAACGGUCAGCUGAUACUGCUUUGCUAGAGUGCAGAAGGGGCAAUCGGAAUUCUUGGUGUAGCGGUGAAAUGCGUAGAUAUCAAGAGGAACACCUGCGGCGAAGGCGGGUUGCUGGGCCGACACUGACGCUGAAGCGCGAAAGCUAGGGGAGCGAACGGG
This 253-nucleotide ribosomal RNA is filed under the name uncultured bacterium. Its description in RNAcentral is "partial 16S ribosomal RNA". It matches the Rfam family "Bacterial small subunit ribosomal RNA", at positions 524 to 776 of the family's 1533-position model. The record is from RNAcentral.